UCACUCUGUGGUCACUCCGACCUUCUUGCCCCAGUGGUCACUCCCUCAGUGUCCAGCAGGGAUCCAGUGGUCACUUCCCACCACUCUGGGGUCACUCCUCACCACUUUGGGGUCACUUCCCACCACUUUGGGGUCACUUUGUGCCACUUUGGGGUCACUCCUCCCCACUCUGGGGUCACUUUGUGCCACUCUGCGGUCACUCCCCACCACUUCGGCGGUCACUCCGCGGUCGCUCCGACCUCCUUCCCACUACCCCAGCGGUCACUCCCUCAGUGUCCAGUGGUCACUUCCCACUGCUCUGGGGUCACUCCUCACAAUUCUGGGGUCACUUUGUGCCACUUUGGGGUCACUUUGCACCACUUCGGGGGGUCACUCCUCCCCACUUCAGUGGUCACUCCGCGGUCACUCUGACCUCCUUCCCACCACCCCAGCGGUCACUCCCUCAGUGUCCAGCAGGGAUCCAGUGUCCAGCGGUCACUCCCCACCACUUUGGGGUCACUUUGUGCCACUCUGGGGUCACUCUGUGCCACUUUGGGGUCACUUUGUGCCACUUUGGGGUCACUUUGUGCCACUUUGGGGUCACUCUGUGCCACUUUGGGGUCACUUUGUGCCACUCUGCGGUCACUCCCCACCACUUCGGUGGUCACUCCGCGGUCGCUCCGACCUCCUUCCCACCACCCCAGCGGUCACUCUCUCAGUGUCCAGCAGGGAU
RNAcentral lists this long non-coding RNA (712 nucleotides) under Chloebia gouldiae (Gouldian finch). RNAcentral describes it as "Erythrura gouldiae (Gouldian finch) lncRNA (ENSEGOG00005018675.1)". Lineage: Eukaryota; Metazoa; Chordata; Aves; Passeriformes; Passeridae. The record is from RNAcentral.